Molecule: ribosomal RNA, 253 nt
Filed under: uncultured bacterium
Lineage: Bacteria
Description: partial 16S ribosomal RNA
Rfam family: Bacterial small subunit ribosomal RNA
Source: RNAcentral
UACGUAGGGUGCAAGCGUUGUCCGGAAUUAUUGGGCGUAAAGAGCUCGUAGGCGGUCUGUCGCGUCGAAUGUGAAAACCCGAGGCUCAACUUCGGGCCUGCAUUCGAUACGGGCAGACUAGAGUUCGGUAGGGGAGUCUGGAAUUCCUGGUGUAGCGGUGAAAUGCGUAGAUAUCUGGAGGAACACCGGUGGCGAAGGCGGUCUGCUGGGCAGUGGCUGACACUGAGGCGCGAAAGCGUGGGGAGCAAACAGG